GCGUUGGUGGUUCCAUGGUAGAAUUCUCACCUUCCAUGCAAGAGACCAGGGUUCGAUUCCCAGCCAGUGCA
RNAcentral lists this transfer RNA (71 nucleotides) under Loxodonta africana (African savanna elephant). It matches the Rfam family "tRNA". From Rfam's summary of the family: Transfer RNA (tRNA) molecules are approximately 80 nucleotides in length. Their secondary structure includes four short double-helical elements and three loops (D, anti-codon, and T loops). The record is from Rfam by way of RNAcentral. Lineage: Eukaryota; Metazoa; Chordata; Mammalia; Proboscidea; Elephantidae.